CUAACAGGAUUCCCUUAGUAACUGCGAGUGAAGAGGGAAAAGCUCAAAUUUAAAAUCUGGCAGUGUUUCAUUGUCCGAGUUGUAACCUAGAGAAGUGUAACCUGUGCUGGACCGUGUAUAAGUCUCCUGGAAUGGAGCAUCACAGAGGGUGAGAAUCCCGUCUUUGACACGGACUACCAGUGCAUUGUGGUUGCGCUCUCAACGAGUCGAGUUGUUUGGGAAUGCAGCUCUAAAUGGGUGGUAAAUUCCAUCUAAAGCUAAAUAUUGGCGAGAGACCGAUAGCGAACAAGUACCGUGAGGGAAAGAUGAAAAGAACUUUGGAAAGAGAGUUAAACAGUAUGUGAAAUUGUUGAAAGGGAAACGUUUGAAGUCAGUCGCGUUGGCCGGGGAUCAGCCUGACAUUGUUGGGUGUACUUCCUGGUUGACGGGCCAACAUCAGUUUUGACUGCCAGAAAAAGGCGAGGGGAAUGUGGCACCUUUGGGUGUGUUAUAGCCCUUGGUCGUAUAUGGCGGUUGGGACUGAGGAAAGCAGCGCGCCGAAAGGCCGGGUUUCGACCACGUUCGCGCUGAGGAUGUUGGCAUAAUGGCUUUAAGCGACCCGUCUGAAAACACGGA
This 615-nucleotide ribosomal RNA is filed under the name uncultured Amanita. RNAcentral describes it as "eukaryotic LSU rRNA". It matches the Rfam family "Eukaryotic large subunit ribosomal RNA", at positions 65 to 665 of the family's 3401-position model. Lineage: Eukaryota; Fungi; Basidiomycota; Agaricomycetes; Agaricales; Amanitaceae. The record is from RNAcentral.